AUAUUAAAAAUUACAAAACAUAAUAAUUUAAUUAUAAAAUAUAUCAAAUUUAAAAAAAUUAAAAGCCACCCUUCCCUUCCCUUUUUCCCCAUGCUUUGUUUCAUCCAAAACAGAGCCACCCACCGUUCAUUGCCCCUUUUCCCGGUUCUCCACUUCCUCCAAGAACUCCACCACCCCAUCCUUCCCUUCCCAUUCUCCGGCGCCUUUUUUGGAGAGUUCAGGUCAAGCUCAGACAACAGAUCUGAAAAGAUGAAGAUUUAGAAAAAUGUAGAUUUGAAAAAAAAUACCAAUUUUACCAUUUUUGUCAAAGACUUUUAAUUUGGUUGAUGACCCUUCGCUGGAUUCAUUUAUUUUCCUGUAGCAGUGGAGAAAGAUUUGUUGUUGAGAUCCGGUGAAGUUUUCAAGAUUGAUUCUUCUCAGGAAUUUCAAGCAUAUCGGCUAAAAAUCAAGAUAACCAUUUGCUGUGGCUCUUCAUCCCCUGAAUUUAGUAUCUUUACCAUAACCCACAAGGCAGAUAGAAGUCAUGGCACAUUGGCAACGUGUGAUAAUUGCUAAGUUAUCUGUAACAAUUGUAACGAAAAGAUACAGACCCGGGUUCGAUUC
Molecule: long non-coding RNA, 603 nt
Organism: Lycium ferocissimum
Lineage: Eukaryota; Viridiplantae; Streptophyta; Magnoliopsida; Solanales; Solanaceae
Exons: 2
Source: RefSeq, a predicted model, not a curated record